This 75-nucleotide transfer RNA is filed under the name Thalassiosira punctigera. Lineage: Eukaryota; Bacillariophyta; Thalassiosirophyceae; Thalassiosirales; Thalassiosiraceae. The record is from RNAcentral.
CGUGUCCGGUGGACACUCUAUGGCCCCACGCUGGCCAGGACGAUAGGCAGGAGGAAAGAGCUCAUUGAAUUUCAC